GCACCUCCGUCACCCCACUAAAUAUCUUCCCAUCGCCGUGACGAAAGGGUCAUCUGACGAGGUGACUGGGGAAUAAAUAGCCAGGGAUCAGAUGCUUCGUGGAGGCAUGUGAUGGCAGCCAGUGUUUACAGUGCAGCCAUCACUCUUUCUCUCCAUGUUAACGUGGCCAUGGGUGUGUCACUACUCUGAUUUCAGGGCUGAAAGCCUCUUGGAACAAUGGAGGUGACUUAGGUGUCGACUGGAAAUGAUGUGUCUUUGCUGCCCAGAUGUUCUCAGCUGAGGUGAUGACGGGCGUGGGGGUGUGCACCCGUCCACCACUCACACGCCAGCACAGAUCCUAAGCCCACCCAUUGCUCGCUCCAAUCGGAGACAUCGUCAACCUCUUUGGUCCUCCUCUAUCUACUGCAAACAAACCUCAAAGUCAAACAGAAUUUUCCUUUCCCUUGAUAAACAUGGAUUAUUUAACGUUCAAAUCAAAGAGGCACUCCCCUUUUCCUGUAAGGUCACGAAACCCUGCAGUGCAGCCAGAGUUGAUUUGGUGUAAAGUGCCUUUACAAACAACAUAAUUUGCUAAUCAUUACAAGGAUGCAUCAGGUUUAUCCUUUGUUUUUCUUCAUGUGUCCAGCUACGUUUAUAGACACGUGAGGUCAUUUGCUCCUACUUGUUGUUACUGUCCUGCCCUCAGUGGUGGAAGAAGUACUCAGAUCCUUUACUCAAGUAAAAGUAGCAAGACCACACUGUCAAAUUACUUCACUACCAACAUUCAGAACUAAAGAAACCUCAAAAUUUACUCAAAGUAUCAAAAAUAAAAGUACUUGUUCUCCAGAAAAA
Sebastes umbrosus (honeycomb rockfish) is the source of this 831-nucleotide long non-coding RNA. RefSeq lists it as uncharacterized. The record is from RefSeq and is a predicted model, not a curated record. The transcript has 2 exons. NCBI's taxonomy places the organism in Eukaryota, Metazoa, Chordata, Actinopteri, Perciformes, Sebastidae.